Molecule: long non-coding RNA, 681 nt
Filed under: Scleropages formosus (Asian bonytongue)
Lineage: Eukaryota; Metazoa; Chordata; Actinopteri; Osteoglossiformes; Osteoglossidae
Description: lncRNA (ENSSFOG00015027001.1)
Source: RNAcentral
GUGCUGCAAACAGAUUAGAUCCACAGAUCGAACAGAGUAGAUUUUAAGCACUUGAAGAAAACAGGCACCAUCAUGAACAGGCUGUGCAAACUUCUUUUUGUGCUACACUGUCUCAGAUGCUCUGCAGCCCACAUGACAACAACUGUGGAACUUGGGGACAACGUCACACUUCACUGCAGCCUGACACACUCGGAUGAAACGGUUUGGGUUGGACAGCGGUGCAACCAAAUUCCCUUCCUAAUAAUUUCAGCCGAAGUGAAAUAUGGAAAAUUGCUGCACAGAUCCGUUACAAGCCAGAGCAAAAGCUUCCUUCCACAGCUGAAUGUAGAAAACAACUCAGUCAGUCUAAUAAUUCUGAACAUCUCGGAGUCUGGUUUGGGACUCUAUUACUGUGUUGCUUGGAGUGAGUCAAUAAAGCAAUUUGGACUCGGAAGCCUGCUUGUUACAGGUGACGUAUUCUUAUGAAAGUUUUAUAUACUUCAGGUCUGAAAAGAUCCAGGUUGAAGUUUUCUUUAUUUACAUUCAGGUCCUUUAAAAGAGAGGUCCGAUAAUGGUCCUGGAUGCCAUGCUCUGCUGGCUGUUGUGUGUCCAGUUUGUGCAGUGGUCACAGUUCUGCUCCUCACAGCCUCUCUCUGUUUCCUCUUUCACCAGAAAGGUAGGUCCAGAGAAACAAAAGCGCAG